CCUACGGGAGGCAGCAGUGGGGAAUAUUGGACAAUGGGCGAAAGCCUGAUCCAGCCAUGCCGCGUGUGUGAAGAAGGCCUUUUGGUUGUAAAGCACUUUAAGCGGGGAGGAGGGCACCGUGGUUAAUACCCACGAAUGUCGGACGUUACCCGCAGAAUAAGCACCGGCUAACUCUGUGCCAGCAGCCGCGGUAAUACAGAGGGUGCGAGCGUUAAUCGGAAUUACUGGGCGUAAAGCGCGCGUAGGCGGCUUGUUAAGUCAGAUGUGAAAUCCCUGGGCUCAACCUAGGCAUUGCAUUCGAUACUGGCAAGCUAGAGUAUGGGAGAGGAAGGUAGAAUUCCAGGUGUAGCGGUGAAAUGCGUAGAGAUCUGGAGGAAUACCGAUGGCGAAGGCAGCCUUCUGGCCUAAUACUGACGCUGAGGUGCGAAAGCAUGGGGAGCAAACAGGAUUAGAUACCCUGGUAGUCCAUGCCGUAAACGAUGUCAACUAGCCGUUGGGCCCCUUGAGGGCUUAGUGGCGCNGCACGCGAUAGUUAGACCGCCGCGGGAGGUACGGUCGCGACGAACGUAAACGUACGAAGAAGUAGACGGACGNGAGACGNGCCGACGGACGACGACGAGGGAGGUAGGGAG
RNAcentral lists this ribosomal RNA (632 nucleotides) under uncultured bacterium. RNAcentral's name for it is "bacterial SSU rRNA". The stretch from base 1 to 542 matches the Rfam family "Bacterial small subunit ribosomal RNA", at positions 338 to 873 of the family's 1533-position model. The record is from RNAcentral.